AGAAGACAGCGCGCUAGCGUAUCUAGUCUAUAUCUGUGGUCGGCACGUCUGGUAGCAUCUGUGGCUGCUGUUGAUCUUGUUUUUGGAGUAAAACACGGUGGAAGCUGAAUUAGUGAGGAUGACUCCUGCUCCUGUCAUCUCUAAGCUCCUCACACAUCUUUACCUGCACAUGAGGAAAAUCACUCCUGUAGAAUGCAGAUGUUCAGAGGGAGAUGAUGCCACAUCUGGUCCAGCCGAUGGAAGGUCUUGAAGAUCUCUGACUGGCCUCGACUGAAGAUGGUCUUCUCACUGGAUUUAAGUGACCAGUUUUUCUGUUUCUUCUCUGGAGAUGCACAAUGAGGGACGUCUGCAGAGACUGAGAAAGAGUCUCACCACAUCCUGACAUGAGGAAAAAGACUUUAUUGAAGACUACAAUGAGAAAAACUAUCAGACAGCAGACGGCUGCAUUCAAGUCUGUAGCUGCUGAAUUCAUGGAUGAAUCAUCUGGCACUAGAGAGA
Amphiprion ocellaris (clown anemonefish) is the source of this 498-nucleotide long non-coding RNA. The record is from Ensembl. Lineage: Eukaryota; Metazoa; Chordata; Actinopteri; Pomacentridae.